UACGAAGGGGGCUAGCGUUGCUCGGAAUCACUGGGCGUAAAGGGCGCGUAGGCGGCCAUUCAAGUCGGAGGUGAAAGCCCAGGGCUCAACCCUGGAAUUGCCUUCGAUACUGUCUGGCUAGAGACCGGAAGAGGUAAGUGGAACUGCGAGUGUAGAGGUGAAAUUCGUAGAUAUUCGCAAGAACACCAGUGGCGAAGGCGGCUUACUGGUCCGGUUCUGACGCUGAGGCGAAAGCGUGGGGAGCAAACAGG
RNAcentral lists this ribosomal RNA (251 nucleotides) under uncultured bacterium. Its description in RNAcentral is "partial 16S ribosomal RNA". It matches the Rfam family "Bacterial small subunit ribosomal RNA", at positions 524 to 776 of the family's 1533-position model. The record is from RNAcentral.